This 284-nucleotide ribosomal RNA is filed under the name uncultured prokaryote. RNAcentral's name for it is "partial 16S ribosomal RNA". It matches the Rfam family "Bacterial small subunit ribosomal RNA", at positions 524 to 819 of the family's 1533-position model. The record is from RNAcentral.
UACGUAGGGGCUAGCGUUAUCCGGAAUUACUGGGCGUAAAGGGUGCGUAGGUGGUUUCUUAAGUCAGAGGUGAAAGGCUACGGCUCAACCGUAGUAAGCCUUUGAAACUGGGAAACUUGAGUGCAGGAGAGGAGAGUGGAAUUCCUAGUGUAGCGGUGAAACGCGUAGAUAUUAGGAGGAACACCAGUUGCGAAGGCGGCUCUCUGGACUGUAACUGACACUGAGGCACGAAAGCGUGGGGAGCAAACAGGAUUAGAUACCCGGGUAGUCCCUGAGCGGGCUGG